Molecule: non-coding RNA, 212 nt
Organism: Arachis ipaensis
Lineage: Eukaryota; Viridiplantae; Streptophyta; Magnoliopsida; Fabales; Fabaceae
Source: RefSeq, a predicted model, not a curated record
CCUUGCUCAAUUCUGUAAUGCUUGAUUUUACCAUAAGUGCUGAUAAGUUGUCCUUGUGAGUUUUUGCGGCCUUCCUCAACUCUGCAAUGUUAAUGUUAUCCUUGGCAUCGGUUCUGACAGAAACAAUUAUCAUGCCACACAUGGCAGCACUGGCAGGAUUUGUACCAUGUGCAGAGACAGGUAUAAUGCAAAUAUUGUGGUGGUGGUCUCCU